GAUGAAGAACGCAGCGAAAUGCGAAAAGUAAUGUGAAUUGCAGAAUUCAGUGAAUCAUCGAAUCUUUGAACGCACAUUGCGCCCGCCAGUAUUCUGGCGGGCAUGCCUGUUCGAGCGUCAUUUCAACCAUCAAGCCCCCGGCUUGUGUUGGGGACCUGCGGCUGCCGCAGGCCCUGAAAACCAGUGGCGGGCUCGCUGUCACACCGAGCGUAGUAGAUUUUCAUCUCGCUCAGGGCGUGCUGCGGGUUCCGGCCGUAAAAAGCCUUAUUUACCCAAGGUUGACCUCGGAUCAGGUAGGAAGACCCGCUGAACUUAAGCAUAUCAAUAAGCGGAGGA
RNAcentral lists this unclassified non-coding RNA (336 nucleotides) under soil metagenome. RNAcentral's name for it is "partial contains 5.8S ribosomal RNA, internal transcribed spacer 2, and large subunit ribosomal RNA". The stretch from base 1 to 120 matches the Rfam family "5.8S ribosomal RNA", at positions 35 to 154 of the family's 154-position model. The record is from RNAcentral.